This 791-nucleotide ribosomal RNA is filed under the name uncultured bacterium. RNAcentral's name for it is "bacterial SSU rRNA". It matches the Rfam family "Bacterial small subunit ribosomal RNA", at positions 8 to 796 of the family's 1533-position model. The record is from RNAcentral.
AGAGUUUGAUCAUGGCUCAGAUUGAACGCUGGCGGCAUGCCUUACACAUGCAAGUCGAACGGCAGCACGGGGGCAACCCUGGUGGCGAGUGGCGAACGGGUGAGUAAUAUAUCGGAACGUGCCCUGGAGUGGGGGAUAACGUAGCGAAAGUUACGCUAAUACCGCAUACGAUCUACGGAUGAAAGUGGGGGAUCGCAAGACCUCAUGCUCGUGGAGCGGCCGAUAUCUGAUUAGCUAGUUGGUAGGGUAAAAGCCUACCAAGGCAUCGAUCAGUAGCUGGUCUGAGAGGACGACCAGCCACACUGGGACUGAGACACGGCCCAGACUCCUACGGGAGGCAGCAGUGGGGAAUUUUGGACAAUGGGGGCAACCAUGAUCCAGCAAUGCCGCGUGAGUGAAGAAGGCCUUCGGGUUGUAAAGCUCUUUUGUCAGGGAAGAAACGGUUGUCUCUAAUACAGAUGGCUAAUGACGGUACCUGAAGAAUAAGCACCGGCUAACUACGUGCCAGCAGCCGCGGUAAUACGUAGGGUGCAAGCGUUAAUCGGAAUUACUGGGCGUAAAGCGUGCGCAGGCGGUUUGGUAAGACAGAUGUGAAAUCCCCGGGCUUAACCUGGGAAUUGCAUUUGUGACUGCCCGGCUAGAGUGUGUCAGAGGGGGGUAGAAUUCCACGUAGCAGUGAAAUGCGUAGAUAUGUGGAGGAAUACCGAUGGCGAAGGCAGCCCCCUGGGAUAACACUGACGCUCAUGCACGAAAGCGUGGGGAGCAAACAGGAUUAGAUACCCUAGUAGUCC